GACGAACGCUGGCGGCGUGCUUAACACAUGCAAGUCGAACGGAAAGGCCCUGCUUUUGUGGGGUGCUCGAGUGGCGAACGGGUGAGUAACACGUGAGUAACCUGCCCUUGACUUUGGGAUAACUUCAGGAAACUGGGGCUAAUACCGGAUAGGAGCUCCUGCUGCAUGGUGGGGGUUGGAAAGUUUCGACGGUUGGGGAUGGACUCGCGGCUUAUCAGCUUGUUGGUGGGGUAGUGGCUUACCAAGGCUUUGACGGGUAGCCGGCCUGAGAGGGUGACCGGCCACAUUGGGACUGAGAUACGGCCCAGACUCCUACGGGAGGCAGCAGUGGGGAAUAUUGCACAAUGGGCGGAAGCCUGAUGCAGCAACGCCGCGUGCGGGAUGACGGCCUUCGGGUUGUAAACCGCUUUCGCCUGUGACGAAGCGUGAGUGAUGGUAAUGGGUAAAGAAGCACCGGCUAACUACGUG
RNAcentral lists this ribosomal RNA (468 nucleotides) under uncultured bacterium. RNAcentral describes it as "partial 16S ribosomal RNA". It matches the Rfam family "Bacterial small subunit ribosomal RNA", at positions 28 to 507 of the family's 1533-position model. The record is from RNAcentral.